This 407-nucleotide ribosomal RNA is filed under the name uncultured bacterium. RNAcentral's name for it is "bacterial SSU rRNA". It matches the Rfam family "Bacterial small subunit ribosomal RNA", at positions 355 to 776 of the family's 1533-position model. The record is from RNAcentral.
UGGGGAAUUUUCUGCAAUGGGCGAAAGCCUGACAGAGCAAUACCGCGUGAGGGAUGAAGGCUCGUGGGUCGUAAACCUCUUUUUUCAAGGAGGAAGUUCUGACGUGUACUUGAAGAAUAAGCAUCGGCUAACUCCGUGCCAGCAGCCGCGGUAAGACGGAGGAUGCAAGUGUUAUCCGGAAUCACUGGGCGUAAAGCGUCUGUAGGUGGUUUAGUAAGUCUAUUGUUAAAGCUUGAGGCUCAACUUCAAAUCAGCGAUGGAAACUGCUAGACUAGAGUGUGGUAGAGGUAAGAGGAAUUUCCAGUGGAGCGGUGAAAUGCGUAGAUAUUGGAAAGAACACCGAUGGCGAAGGCAUCUUACUGGGCCAUAACUGACACUCAGAGACGAAAGCUAGGGUAGCAAAUGGG